RNAcentral lists this long non-coding RNA (909 nucleotides) under Sorghum bicolor (sorghum). RNAcentral describes it as "long non-coding RNA (SBIC_LNC012430)". The record is from RNAcentral. Lineage: Eukaryota; Viridiplantae; Streptophyta; Magnoliopsida; Poales; Poaceae.
UGUCCUAUAAAUAGUUCCUUCUCGGGUACUCCUUCUCUAUCGCAUCAUUCUACAGCCCCAACUCCACUUUUCUGGCGGCGGCGCUGUUCGAGAGUUCCAAGAACUGCAAUGAAGGCUUUUCUCCACCAACCUCAAAGUCUUCGAUCAUCCUCUUCACAAGGAGAUGGCCAUCAACUUCGCUAUUUCUGAGGUCAGUUCAUCACCUUAACUCUCGUACUUUGACCAUAUCCUUGUUCAUCCGCAAUCUAUUUUACUGAAUAUUCUUUUCCUUUUUUAUUUUCUUUUGUUCUUCUUUUUAUCCCAAAAACCAUUAGGAUCUGUCCAAUCAAAUUGUCAUCCCUACCGAUCAGCCUCCUUUUCACGCUCCAGCCUCCUUUUCUGUGUCCUAGUCAACCUCUCUGGACACCAUGGCGGAAGUUGUUGCUGCUUUACCGAUGGGCGAUGAUUCUCCCUUGGCUCCAUCCGAUAAGUAUUAGCGUCCCUGCAAAAUAUGAACUCAUCGGGAACCCGUGCAUUAGCCAUCUCUUCAAGUUCUUCCUGGUUCUUGGGAAAAUAUUCAACACGAUCACCAAGCCUAUCGUGCACACUGAGCCUGCCCCCCAGUCGAUCAUGAACCGAUGCUCUCCCCCUAAUCGGCCCAUCAAACCAGCGGUUAUUGUUCUGAUACUGCCGAUUUGAUCUGUCAUACCGAUCAUAACCAUUACAUUUCGGGCAGUCUCUGACAGUAGGAAGCUUGAUAUUUUCCUCCCAACAAUGAAUGAAGAACGGGCAAUUCUAGUGAUCCCUGUGCCGAUUCCAUUCUUGUCGGCGUCUUUCUUCUUCCCGAUGAUAAUCUUCUUGCUGGCGCCGAUAUCGAUCCUCACGUUGCUGCCAAGUUUCCCGAGGCCUUCUGUGAGUUAUUACAAUACC